Molecule: ribosomal RNA, 254 nt
Filed under: uncultured bacterium
Lineage: Bacteria
Description: partial 16S ribosomal RNA
Rfam family: Bacterial small subunit ribosomal RNA
Source: RNAcentral
UACGGAGGGGGCAAGCGUUGUUCGGAAUUACUGGGCGUAAAGGGCGCGCAGGCGGCUGCUCAAGUCAGGCGUGAAAGGCCUGGGCUCAACCCGGGAAUUGUGCUUGAGACUGGGCUGGCUUGAGUGCGGGAGAGGAUGGUGGAAUUCCCAGUGUAGAGGUGAAAUUCGUAGAUAUUGGGAAGAACACCGGUGGCGAAGGCGGCCAUCUGGACCGCAACUGACGCUGAGGCGCGAAAGCGUGGGGAGCAAACAGG